This 1808-nucleotide long non-coding RNA is filed under the name Homo sapiens (human). RNAcentral describes it as "HSALNT0297347". The record is from RNAcentral. Lineage: Eukaryota; Metazoa; Chordata; Mammalia; Primates; Hominidae.
CUCCACCCUAUAGCACACAUGGAAAUAAAGACAUAAAAAACUUAAAUGGAGUUCACUCGAAUUAUAUAGAUCCUUAUUGGUAAGUUCUGAAUAAAAUUCUGGUGGCAAGCUCCUUAAAGUUCCAAUUCCAAGCACAGAGAUGUUCAUGGAAGGUUUUACAUAACACGUGUAGAACCUGUCCAUGGCUGGGUUUUCUUUUGUUCAGUUUUGGGUCUCAGCACCUGGAAGACUACCUGGCAUAUGAAUUCCUGUGAUCCGGUACAUACAGAAAAAUAUCAAGAGAAGUUAAAUUUUAAAAUGAUGGACCUUUUCCAAUUAGAUUACUUCUGAUCAAUACAAUGUCUGAUUUUUAUAAGAUGACAACUAAAAUUCAAAUUCGGAUGUCAAAAAGGUUUAAAUAACCCUCCCUCCGAUCUCUGUCUUCUUCCUACUCUGUACUCUCUCUGGGGAUCUCUUUACAUCCCACAGCCAUUGAAUCUUAAAAGUAAUACAAGAAAUAAUUGAAUGAAAUUUCCAAGGACUUCAGAAUAUAGAUCACUUUUUUUCCCUAACAUCUAGAACAGUAUCUAGCGUAUUGACAAUAUCCAAUAAUAUUUGCUAAAUAAAUAAAGAAAAAUGCACACUGAAGAGUCAACAUCAUAAAUGAAUAAAAACAUAUUCAAAAGUAUAUCAUUCUGAAAUUGUACAAUGCAUACAAAUAUUUGAUGCUAAAAACUUCUACAAAGAUAAAGAAGAUCACAUAUGGGAGUUACAACAUUUAGACUUCUGAAAGAAAAUUAAUUCCAACCUAGACUUCUAUGCUCCAUUUAAAAAAUUAAUCAGAAGACACAGAUUAAGUAAAGCAACUUACAGAUAGGUUAGAUCUAAAAAUAUGUAUUUGUGAUACACCCUUCUGUAGGAAGAUAUACAUCACCAAAAUAAUGGAAUAAAUAAACAAGACAUAGGAUUAAUGAAAAAUGAUUACAACACAGGAGAGGUUGAAAAGAAUUCCUGGAAUAAUGUUGAAGGGAAAUCCUAAGACAUCAGCCAUUCUUCAAGUCUAGAAACCCCAAGGCUAUUGAGAGCAUGAAGACUAAGGAAUGAAUGUCUCCAGGAAACAAAAAAGGAACCAAUGAAUUCAUGACACAUUACCUGGUGAGACUGACCAUAAGCAAACAUAAACAAAACAAUUUCCAUAGGUAUUUUAUUGUUUGGAAUGUAGCAAUUUAUGAAAAAGAAGAGACGAGUAUUAACUCCAGUACAAACAAAGAGUUAUUUGGGUAAGGGUGCAAAUCUUAGUAAAUGACUUGGUUCAGAAGUAAACAAUAUAACACAACUUUUAAAAAGUUGAGGGGUGAAGACUGAAGUGGUAAUUUAAAUACAAAAUUCUGAUACAAUUUUAUUGAGAGGAGGGAGAGAGGAGUGGAGAGAAUUUGGUAUCAUGGUGAAGAAGUGCUAAUUUUAAUGGUGCAUAAAAAUAAGUCAUUGGUAUCAGUGAUACAUAUUAUUUUGUAAUAUGAAGACUGAAGAAAGAGAAAGGAAUAUUUUUCUAUUUUAUUUUGGUAAAAAUUUUUAUUUCUAUUAUCUCCCUCCUUUCAAUAAAAUUGUAUCAAAAUUUGUGUUUAAAUUACAGUUCAGUGUCCCCUCUCCCUCUUUUGUCCCUGGGGGCCAGAGUUUUUAUUAUUAUUUUGAGUUAUUGAAUUUUUAAAAACUAACACAUAUUAGUUUUUGAGAUUUUUUUCUUGUUGUUCUUGGGUUAUUGACAGCAAAGGGGUGGAGGAGGAGAGAGAAGAUAAAAUGAGCAAAUAAAAAAAUGGUAAAGUACACAA